Brassica oleracea var. oleracea is the source of this 1015-nucleotide long non-coding RNA. RefSeq lists it as uncharacterized. The transcript is spliced from 5 exons. The record is from RefSeq and is a predicted model, not a curated record. Lineage: Eukaryota; Viridiplantae; Streptophyta; Magnoliopsida; Brassicales; Brassicaceae.
GUAAGCAUUGGGGAGGUCGAAGGUCUCCAUCACGCGGAAGAGGCGCGAUGAACCUGCGGAGACAGAAACGUUAGUUAUGUAAGCCACUGUUGCAUCAUAGAUGAAGAGAGUCUCGGGUUUGAGUCCCUGUAGCUAAGGAUCGGAUCCCUUAUAUGCCGAUAAAUAAGAGUCUGAAGAGCAUCAGCCGAUCAGAAGGAGCUACGGUGAAGACGAUUAUUGCGUUCUUGCCAAGUCCAGAAUAUGCAGCUUUUCCAGCGCUGCACCAUGGAGGACCAGAGAGACCAAGAGUAAGGGCAUACGAAGAGUAGAUGAUCUCGCGACUCUGGUGAUGAGUUACAAAGCAGACAGUUAGGUGGGGUUUGAAGGCCCCAUCUCAGUAAUCUAUCUCUUGUUGGACACCUAUUUAGGACGAACAGCUAAGAGAAAACAAAUGCUUAGGAAUGCCUCCCUUGAUCCAGACGAUCUGUUCCCAUGGCACCACAGCUCCUUGACCAGAUAGUGAACUGUUGUUAGAAAACAUGGAGCUGCAGUUGAAUCUCUGACCAGGGUUGAGGAAGCGUCCAGUGGUUAUCCCUAUAUAACGAUGAGACAGUGGCAUUUUCCGUGAUCCCAAGAGAGAAGGUCGAUUCUUGAGCAAGGAAAGUUCUAAGGGAGCCAAACGUUGACCAGUUAUCAGUCCAAAAACGACAUUCCAGAAGGAGUUUAGAUCACCAUUGAGUAUUGUAUCCUUGAACCAAGCCACCCAGAUCGAGCCAGAUUGGAAAAACAGGAGCCAAAUCAGCUUCAACAUACAUGCUUUAGUCGAAGUUGUACUGACAUGUACCGUGGUAAGGGAAAGGCACCGUGAGGGCUCCAGCCAUGAGAAGAUGUGUGGUGAUUGGGUCAUUAUUGAUAAGUGUGAAGUAUUGAUAGCCUAUUGUGCAAACUGUGAACUUAUGAUUGAUUAAGUAUUGUAAUGUAGUAGUAUGGACGAAUGGAUGAUGUAUGGAUCUCAUUUACUAUCUCUGAAAUAACU